This 546-nucleotide ribosomal RNA is filed under the name Enterobacter hormaechei subsp. xiangfangensis. RNAcentral describes it as "partial 23S ribosomal RNA". It matches the Rfam family "Bacterial large subunit ribosomal RNA", at positions 1 to 587 of the family's 2925-position model. Lineage: Bacteria; Pseudomonadati; Pseudomonadota; Gammaproteobacteria; Enterobacterales; Enterobacteriaceae. The record is from RNAcentral.
GGUUAAGCGACUAAGCGUACACGGUGGAUGCCCUGGCAGUCAGAGGCGAUGAAGGACGUGCUAAUCUGCGAAAAGCGCCGGCGAGGUGAUAUGAACCUUUGACCCGGCGAUGUCCGAAUGGGGAAACCCAGUGUGUUCCGACACACUAUCGUUAACUGAAUACAUAGGUUAACGAGGCGAACCGGGGGAACUGAAACAUCUAAGUACCCCGAGGAAAAGAAAUCAACCGAGAUUCCCCCAGUAGCGGCGAGCGAACGGGGAGCAGCCCGGAGUCUGAAUCAGCUUGUGUGUUAGUGGAACGGUCUGGAAAGUCCGACGGUACAGGGUGAUAGUCCCGUACACGAAAACACACUUGCUGUGAACUCGAAGAGUAGGGCGGGACACGUGGUAUCCUGUCUGAAUAUGGGGGGACCAUCCUCCAAGGCUAAAUACUCCUGACUGACCGAUAGUGAACCAGUACCGUGAGGGAAAGGCGAAAAGAACCCCGGCGAGGGGAGUGAAAAAGAACCUGAAACCGUGUACGUACAAGCAGUGGGAGCACCUUCG